Molecule: ribosomal RNA, 555 nt
Filed under: [Candida] sp. R2
Lineage: Eukaryota; Fungi; Ascomycota; Saccharomycetes; Saccharomycetales
Description: eukaryotic LSU rRNA
Rfam family: Eukaryotic large subunit ribosomal RNA
Source: RNAcentral
AAACCAACAGGGAUUCCCUCAGUAGCGGCGAGUGAAGCGCCAAAAGCUCCAUUUUGAAAAGCGCUUCGGCCGCGUUGUACAAUGGUGUAGUCUAAAGUCUUUUACGUAAUUAAGUCCUCUGGAACGGGGCGCCAUAGAGGGUGAGAGCCCCGUGCAUUACUUCCGAGACCCCAGUCUACUCCGCGGAGUCGAGUUGUUUGGGAAUGCAGCUCUAAGUGGGUGGUAAAUUCCAUCUAAGGCUAAAUACUGGCGAGAGACCGAUAGCGAACAAGUACAGUGAUGGAAAGAUGAAAAGCACUUUGAAAAGAGAGUGAAAAAGUACGUGAAAUUGUUGAAAGGGAAGGGUAUUUGGCCCGACAUGAGUCCUAUGCACCGUUGCCUCUCGUGGGUGGCGUAAUGCUUGGGCUUGGCCAGCGUCAGUUUUGGGGGGGAGAAAAAGGUUGGUUGAUCCACUCUGUGGCUAUUCCUUCUGGAUAUCCCCACCUGGGACUGAGGACUGCCGUUGUAGGACGCUGGCAACAACGGCCAAAUACCGCCCGUCUUGAAACACGGACC